AUUGAACGCUGGCGGCAUGCCUAACACAUGCAAGUCGAACGGAAACGACGAAAACAAUCCCUUCGGGGUGCGUCUUCGGGCGUCGAGUGGCGGACGGGUGCGUAACGCGUAGGAAUCUACCUUAUAGUGGGGGACAACUCGGGGAAACUCGAGCUAAUACCGCAUAAGCCUUACGAGGGAAAGCAGGGGAUCUUCGGACCUUGCGCUAUUAGAUGAGCCUGCGUCGGAUUAGCUUGUUGGUAGGGUAAUGGCCUACCAAGGCAACGAUCCGUAGCUGGUCUGAGAGGAUGAUCAGCCACACUGGGACUGAGACACGGCCCAGACUCCUACGGGAGGCAGCAGUGGGGAAUAUUGGACAAUGGGCGCAAGCCUGAUCCAGCAAUGCCGCGUGUGUGAAGAAGGCCUUAGGGUUGUAAAGCACUUUCAGUAGGGAAGAAAUGCGUGUAGUUAAUAACUGCGCGUCUUGACGGUACCUACAGAAGAAGCACCGGCUAACUCCGUG
This 502-nucleotide ribosomal RNA is filed under the name uncultured Gammaproteobacteria bacterium. RNAcentral describes it as "bacterial SSU rRNA". It matches the Rfam family "Bacterial small subunit ribosomal RNA", at positions 30 to 507 of the family's 1533-position model. Lineage: Bacteria; Pseudomonadati; Pseudomonadota; Gammaproteobacteria. The record is from RNAcentral.